RNAcentral lists this ribosomal RNA (340 nucleotides) under uncultured Flavobacteriaceae bacterium. RNAcentral describes it as "bacterial SSU rRNA". It matches the Rfam family "Bacterial small subunit ribosomal RNA", at positions 1 to 346 of the family's 1533-position model. Lineage: Bacteria; Pseudomonadati; Bacteroidota; Flavobacteriia; Flavobacteriales; Flavobacteriaceae. The record is from RNAcentral.
CAUGGAGUUUGAUCCUGGCUCAGGAUGAACGCUAGCGGCAGGCUUAACACAUGCAAGUCGAGGGGUAUAGUUCUUCGGAGCUAGAGACCGGCGCACGGAUGCGUAACGCGUAUGUAAUCUACCUUUUACAGAGGGAUAGCCCAGAGAAAUUUGGAUUAAUACCUCAUAGUAUUUUCGAAUCGCAUGAUUUGAUUAUUAAAGUUCCAACGGUAAAAGAUGAGUAUGCGUCCCAUUAGUUAGAUGGUAAGGUAACGGCUUACCAUGGCAACGAUGGGUAGGGGUCCUGAGAGGGAGAUCCCCCGACACUGGUACUGAGACACGGACCAGACUCCGUACGGGA